Long non-coding RNA from Nomascus leucogenys (northern white-cheeked gibbon), 772 nucleotides. RefSeq lists it as uncharacterized. The record is from RefSeq and is a predicted model, not a curated record. NCBI's taxonomy places the organism in Eukaryota, Metazoa, Chordata, Mammalia, Primates, Hylobatidae. The transcript is spliced from 3 exons.
AUUUAAAUGUCCAGGUGUAGGUGGGUGUGGUGGAAUUAGGAGGAAGAGCGCUUCGCCCCCAUCAAUUCUGCAGUUGUCGUGGCAGCUUAGCCAUGAGUGGGUCAGGUGGCAAAAGCAGAGGCCGACCCCCGCCAGCCAGUGCUGCCAGGCCCCAUCUCGCUCUCUGGUUCAGGAGAACGUCUCCAGAAGAGCGUCAGUUUGGGGCUGGAUAUUGUAAACCUUGAUCCAAGGAACAGUUUCCAGAUGGAGAAUGGGUAGAAUUUCUCCUCCUUCUCUUGAACUAGGAGUAAGUGAGCGUCGCUAGAAGCAUCCAGAUAUGAAGGCUGCAAAUCCUACCUAAACUGCAGCCCGAUCUCUGAAAGCAACUUUGCUCAAUUGCAGCCUGACUAGCUACAAAACCAGAGUCAUAUAUCUGAUGGACUCAGGAAUAAAACAGAGUCCGGAUUAAGAAGAGUAAAGACAGAUUACUGACGCUGGUAAGACCCAGGCAGUCUCAUUCUGUGCACACUAUCUGACUGUCCCAUUUGCAGGGCCAGAUGUUUUCUCUUUGUUACUAUUUUUGCAUCUGUCUAGGAAACAUUUGGGUGGCACUCAACUCACAAGACGUGAACCUUGUAGCAGAUGCUGCUUCCCCUGGGUGUACUCACUUCUACAUGCUGAAGGGGGAUGGCUGCUAUGGCUUGAGUCUCUGCCUAGAGGCUUAUUUCUAGGCCACAAGGCAAUGACAAACAGAAAGUUUAUAAAGAAAUAUCACUUUUUGUUUGUUUGUUUG